This 302-nucleotide ribosomal RNA is filed under the name uncultured bacterium. RNAcentral's name for it is "partial 16S ribosomal RNA". It matches the Rfam family "Bacterial small subunit ribosomal RNA", at positions 508 to 809 of the family's 1533-position model. The record is from RNAcentral.
GCAGUCGCCGCGGUAAUACGUAGGUGGCAAGCGUUGUCCGGAAUUAUUGGGCGUAAAGGGCUCGCAGGCGGUUUCUUAAGUCUGAUGUGAAAGCCCCCGGCUCAACCGGGGAGGGUCAUUGGAAACUGGGAAACCUGAGUGCAGAAGAGGAGAGUGGAAUUCCACGUGUAGCGGUGAAAUGCGUAGAGAUGUGGAGGAACACCAGUGGCGAAGGCGACUCUCUGGUCUGUAACUGACGCUGAGGAGCGAAAGCGUGGGGAGCGAACAGGAUUAGAUACCCCCGUAGUCCCUGUCUCUUAUAU